RNAcentral lists this ribosomal RNA (256 nucleotides) under uncultured Oscillibacter sp. RNAcentral describes it as "partial 16S ribosomal RNA". It matches the Rfam family "Bacterial small subunit ribosomal RNA", at positions 82 to 339 of the family's 1533-position model. Lineage: Bacteria; Bacillati; Bacillota; Clostridia; Eubacteriales; Oscillospiraceae. The record is from RNAcentral.
CUCUUCAGAUCGAGUGGCGAACGGGUGAGUAACGCGUGAGGAACCUGCCUUUCAGAGGGGGACAACAGUUGGAAACGACUGCUAAUACCGCAUGACACAUAGAGAUCGCAUGGUUUUAUGUCAAAGAUUUAUCGCUGAAAGAUGGCCUCGCGUCUGAUUAGCUAGUUGGUGAGGUAACAGCCCACCAAGGCGACGAUCGGUAGCCGACCUGAGAGGGUGAUCGGCCACAUUGGAACUGAGAGACGGUCCAGACUCC